ACCACCGUCCAGACUCCCCGGGAAGAAACACCAAAAGAAGACUAGAAACCGGAGAGAAAAGUUGAUCCCCAUUCCCCACAAUAGAGCUGCGACUUCGUGAGAGAUGGAUGAAGAGCAUGGUAAUAGCAUCGGUAGUAGCAGUAGUAAUUUGGAGACUGCGAAGGCGGAGAGAUCGGUUUGGCUGAUGAAAUGCCCGGUUGCGGUGGCCAAGUCCUGGAAGAGUCAUCCCCAAUCUGACCCUCACCCUCUCGCCAAGGUCGUCCUCUCCCUCGAUCCUCUUCACCCCGACGGCUCCUCUUCCCUUCAGUUCACAAUGGAGAUGGCAGGCACUGAGGCGGGGAGUGUUCCGAAAAGUUAUUCUUUGAAUAUGUUUAAGGAUUUUGUUCCCAUGUCUGUCUUUUCAGAGACAAAUCAAGGUAAGGUUGCGAUGGAGGGAAAGGUUGAGCAUAAGUUUGACAUGAAGCCCCAUAGUGAAAACAUUGAAGAGUAUGGAAAAUUGUGCCGUGAAAGGACAAGCAAGUCCAAGAUAAAGAGUAGACAAAUACAGGUCAUUGACAAUGAUCGUGGAAUACAUAUGAGGCCCAUGCCGGGAAUGGUUGGCUUGAUUUCAUCCACUUCCAAGGAUAAGAAGAAAACUGUACCAGUUAAGCAAUCGGAUGUGAAAAGAACUAGAAGGGAUCGUGGGGAACUGGAGGAUAUAAUGUUCAAACUAUUUGAAAGACAACCAAAUUGGGCCUUAAAGCAGCUUGUCCAAGAGACUGAUCAACCUGCCCAAUUCUUGAAGGAGAUACUCAACGAGCUGUGUGUGUACAAUAAAAGAGGAACCAACCAAGGAACCUACGAGCUUAAGCCAGAAUACAAGAAAGUUGUUGAAGAUACAACAACUGCUGAAUAAUAUAGCACCUCUCGGGCCAUUAGUGACCUUUUUUCUAUUUAUUUCUCUACGUGAAUUAAGCAGGAAAGGAGCAGACUCAGUCACAAAGUUCAAAUAAAUUCACAAGUUACGCAGGGGUGCUGCACGUGACGCCACCGAGAAGGUAUCAAGCAAACACAACAUGGAGCGACCUAUUCUUUCCUUUUUGAUAUUUCGUUCUCUGAAAUUCGCAGAUGCAAAUUUGUACAGAGUCUUAGUUUUUACUCUGGGGCCAAGAGUUAUACAAAAAUAUUUUGUUCCGCAAACUUAAUUCCUCAAUGACCCAUUAUCUUGAUUUAGCAUCAACGCUUACUGGAUGGACUUUUAGAGUUCCAUCAGUUCUACCAAUUCCAAGGCAAGUCCAUUCUUAUGCACUAAUGUUUUGCCAA
Molecule: RNA transcript, 1302 nt
Organism: Juglans microcarpa x Juglans regia
Lineage: Eukaryota; Viridiplantae; Streptophyta; Magnoliopsida; Fagales; Juglandaceae
Gene name: general transcription factor IIF subunit 2-like
Exons: 7
Source: RefSeq, a predicted model, not a curated record